GCACUACAACCUGGGCUACAGAGAGAGACUCCAUCUCAAAAAACGAAAAAGAAAAAUGGAUUCAAAGAAUUAUCACUGUUAAGUUCCACCAGCAAAUUACUAAACGUGGUUCCAAAGGAAUAUUUAAAAAGGGAAAUUAAGUGUUACCAAGAAAGCCCUAUUUACAGCAGAAACACAGACACUGUUCGUGACCUCACUACAGAAACUUCCUUCAUGUGUUGGGAGGGACCAAGGGGCUCUCUGGUCCUGCACCUGCAUUAAUUACUUCCAGGAGGUCCACGCUAGGACCCCAAGGCCUGGGAACCAGCCUGGGUCAGGGGCAGAGAAGUGGUGAACGUGGCUCCAAGGGGCACUCCUGAGGUGCAGAGGAGGAUUUGUGACAGCCCAGAGGAUAGAGGAAAUGGUGGCUUUGAAAAGGUUUGUGCUAUGUACUAACAUGCAAUACAAAUACUGAUGAAAACAAAACUAUUGCCCUCCUACCAAAUGGGAAAUUAAUGUUAUGACUGGAUAAAUUCGAGGUUGUCUAUCUCCGUUUUCUGAUGGAAAAGCGUGGAGUUCAGAAGCAUUGCUCGCUCCUUCAGUUUCUAACAAGUCAGUAAUCUCAUAGCAAUUUAAAUUUAAAUGUUUGAAUUACCUCUCCUUCCCUGGUUCAGAGCCAGGUCUUGGAGAGACCAGGAAGCCAAGAGUUUCCUCCAAGAAUGGAGAUUCCUUGGGAGCGAUGUUUGCCUUGAGUAAAGAAAGAUGAAUCACAUGUGGUCAAAGGCAGUUGUCCAGGGUCUCAAGAAAAGAGCCAGAAAGAGGAGCUGGGGCUGCUGGGAUUGUGGGGGUCCUCUCUCCCACCUAAAAAGCUACUACUGCCUGCUGACCCUCUGAAGAGGAGACCCCUCUGGGCUCCAGCACCUAAAACAGACAAAACUGGGAGGAUGGUUCUCUCUUCUGUGUCACACAUGUCCUAGAGAAAACCUGUGUAUCUAAAUGACCAAA
Molecule: long non-coding RNA, 984 nt
Filed under: Homo sapiens (human)
Lineage: Eukaryota; Metazoa; Chordata; Mammalia; Primates; Hominidae
Description: novel transcript
Source: RNAcentral